GGAUUGGGCAACUCAGAUGACGGAAAAUGACAGAACGGGAAGCUAAUUGUGCCUGCCAGUCAAAUCACAAGAUACAGACAGCCCCUCGUACACCUUCCCGCACCCUAGCAUUUCUCUGUCAUUCCCUCUCCCCAGUUAUUCUUCUCAGUCGUUCAGCCACAGAGUAAUGUCGUUAAUGGCUUCCAUCCUCCUUCUCUCUCCCCUCCUCGCCGCCACUUUGCCUCUCCGAUUAUAAUAUUCCGAUGACAGCAUAAGUCCAUUCCAUUUCCACCUGCUCUGCACCUACUCAACCCUCUCUUCUCUCUCUCUCUGUCUCUCUGUGUCUCGGAGUUUUCGCUCUUCCAUGGCCACCGCCGGCGGGUUCUCGUUCUCACUCUGAGCUGAGCUGUGGUGUGGUGUGGCUGAGCUUGCUUGCUUUGCCCGAGAGCAUGUCGGAGAGCCGCGACGAGUCGGCGCGGAAGACCUUCCGAGCUCUGGUGGAGAGGGCGGACAAGAAGUUCGCCCGCGUCCGCGACCUCCCCCCGUACGGCACCGCCGCGGCCCAGGGCCACCUCUUCCCAAAGGCGUUCAAGGCCUACAUGCGGCUCUGGAAGUUCCAGCAGGAGAACCGGCAGAGCCUCGUGGAGUCCGGCCUGAACCGGUGGGAGAUCGGCGAGAUCGCCAGCCGGAUCGGCCAGCUCUACUUCAGCCAGUACAUGAGGACCAGCGAGGCGAGGUUCCUGGUGGAGGCGUACAUCUUCUACGAGGCUAUUCUCAGCCGGAAGUACUUCGAGGGCAGCGGCCCCAAGGCGAAGGAUCUCGGAGUCCGGGCAAAGGAAUUGAGGUUCUACGCGAGGUUUCUGCUCGUCGCCCUGAUUCUGAACCGGACCGAGAUGGUGAAAAUGCUCGUCGAGAAAUUCAAGGCAGUGAUUGACGAUUGCGAGGCUACUUUCCGGGAAACAAAUUUCAGAGAGUGGAAGAUAGUGCUUAAAGAAAUUGUCCGCUUUAUGAAAGUAGAUUCUGCCUUCACAAGUGAUUGUCCUUUGCGCUACUGCCCCAGCUUUGAUUCUCAUUCAGCUUCGCUACCUUAUGUUUUUCGGUUCCAUGCAAAGAAGGUCUUGAAAUUUCGAGAUGCGAUACUUACAAGUUAUCAUCGGAAUGAGGUAAAAUAUGCAGAACUUACUCUGGACAGUCAUAGGAUGCUGCAAUGUUUAGAAUGGGAACCAAGUGCCUCGUUCUACCGAAAACGCUCAGCUGAUUCAAAUGAGAACGGUGGUUUUGUUGAUCAUUCUGCAGCUUCUGGGCUUAUUGAGAUGAAUUUGCCUGACAUGAGUGAUCCGUCUUUGCCUCCCAAUCCUAAGAAGGCCAUUCUUUAUCGCCCAUCUGUAACACAUCUAAUAGCAGUUAUUGCUACGGUUUGUGAGGAACUCCCGCCUGAGAGUGUUAUCCUGAUAUACCUCUCAGCUCCAGGAAAGCCUAGUGGGCAGAACACUUCGCAGAUUGAAAGCUCAGGUGGAUCAACGAAAUCUUCAAAAAGCAUGAUUAGUUCGGAGACCUCCCAUUGUUCCACAUCUGGAUCUGAUGUUGAUGGCCAGAAAAUGUCAAGCUGUCACAAUAGUUGUCUGUGGUUAGGUCCCAAGGGAAGUGGUGGUUCGAAUACGCUGUAUCCUGCUGAUAUAAUUCCUUUUACCAGAAGACCUUUGUUUUUGAUUAUCGAUAGUGACAACAGCCAAGCAUUCAAGGCAGGUAAUUCAUGGUGCGGAGAGAGGCGAGACUGCUGCUCUGUUUCUAUCACCUUUAAGACCGUCUUUUAGGAACCUCUCUGAUGCUGCUCAAAUAGAAAAUGGGAGUCAAUUCACGUACUUCUUGACUGCUCCACUGCUCGCAUUUCGCCAAAUGGCUGGGCUGUCUUCUUCGGACAUUAAUCCUGGUCUUUAUAAUGAUGCUGAGAACAUUCUCGCCACUGCCUUUGGUGCAUGGGAAGUGAUGCUUUGCAAAUCAAAAGAUCUCGAUCUGGUCUGGGCUCAGGUUUUAUCUGAUCCUUUCAUCCGCCGACUUAUUUUAAGAUUUAUCUUCUGCCGGGCCGUGCUCUUCUUUUUCUGCUCUCCAGAAUGCAGAGAAGAUUAUCUGCCUCUUUGCCUCCCCGACCUUCCAAGCUCGUUCUCCCCAGAAUCUGAUGGCGUCCUCUCCACUAUUGUUCAGAUUGCAGAUCACUUUGGAGUCGCUAGUUACUUCCAUACAUAACUUGCCAGACAGCAAAGGAUACAACUAUAUUGAGUUUGUACAAUAUCAAUGCAGCUUGUAUAAUUCUUCUGUCGAACCGGAGCAAUAUCAGCUCAAGAUGAGGAUAUAGAAUAUCAGCACAGCUCACUUCUCAGGAACAUUGGACAGACAUCUCAUUGGGAGGCUAAACUGAGCACCGUGCAUCCUUUGUUCUUGUCUUCUGUUCUGUCUGUGUAGUCUCCACUGGUUGCUUUCAAAUUCGUGAGCCGCAUUAGGAGGGCACUCUUGCCUAUAUGUCAUUGUUUCGUAGUUCUCAUUAGUUCCUUCAUACCUUUGUAGAAGAAAACUAGGUAGUCGAAACACUGAGCCGUUUGUGUAUCAUCUUAGGUUGUUUUCCCCCUUUUAAGCAAAAUUACAGAGGGAGCUGCUGCGUAGAAGUAGUGUGUAUAUUUGGAGAGUAUUCAUCGGCGAAUGGUUCCAUAAAAAAAAAUGUCCAUACUCACUCCUUUCUCUUCGGAGUCGUACUCUUUGUAUGUGCGUAGUCUUUCUUGUCGACCUCUU
Non-coding RNA from Punica granatum (pomegranate), 2763 nucleotides. Lineage: Eukaryota; Viridiplantae; Streptophyta; Magnoliopsida; Myrtales; Lythraceae. The record is from RefSeq and is a predicted model, not a curated record.